Molecule: ribosomal RNA, 445 nt
Filed under: uncultured bacterium
Lineage: Bacteria
Description: bacterial SSU rRNA
Rfam family: Bacterial small subunit ribosomal RNA
Source: RNAcentral
GUGAGGAAUAUUGGGCAAUGGGCGCAAGCCUGACCCAGCCAUGCCGCGUGCAGGAUGAAGGCGCUAUGCGUUGUAAACUGCUUUUGUUCGGGAAGAAACCCAUCUACGUGUAGGUGGUUGACGGUACUGAAUGAAUAAGCAUCGGCUAACUCCGUGCCAGCAGCCGCGGUAAUACGGAGGAUGCAAGCGUUAUCCGGAUUCAUUGGGUUUAAAGGGUGCGUAGGCGGAAUAUUAAGUCAGCGAUGAAAUCCUGCAGCUUAACUGUAGAACUGUCAUUGAUACUGGUAUUCUUGAAUGCAGUUGAGGUAGGCGGAAUGUGUAAUGUAGCGGUGAAAUGCUUAGAUAUUACACAGAACACCGAUUGCGAAGGCAGCUUACUAAACUGUGAUUGACGCUGAGGCACGAAAGCGUGGGGAGCAAACAGGAUUAGAUACCCGUGUAGUCC